RNAcentral lists this ribosomal RNA (255 nucleotides) under uncultured bacterium. Its description in RNAcentral is "partial small subunit ribosomal RNA". It matches the Rfam family "Bacterial small subunit ribosomal RNA", at positions 26 to 285 of the family's 1533-position model. The record is from RNAcentral.
AGAGCGAACGCUGGCGGCAGGCCUAACACAUGCAAGUCGAGCGGAAAGGCCCUUCGGGGUACUCGAGCGGCGAACGGGUGAGUAACACGUGAGCAACCUGCCCUUAGCUCUGGGAUAGCUCCGGGAAACCGGAAUUAAUACCGGAUAUUACACCGGCUGGCAUCGGCUGGUGUGGAAAGAUUUAUCGGCUAAGGAUGGACUCGCGGCCUAUCAGCUUGUUGGUGGGGUAGAAGCCUACCAAGGCGACGACGGGUA